This is a small nuclear RNA of Nycticebus coucang (slow loris), 104 nucleotides long. NCBI's taxonomy places the organism in Eukaryota, Metazoa, Chordata, Mammalia, Primates, Lorisidae. The record is from RefSeq and is a predicted model, not a curated record.
UCUCACUUCUGCAGGAAAAAUACAAACUUAGAACAACAGAGAUUGGAUUAGCAUGGCCCCUGUGCACAGAUGACAUGUAAAUUCGUGACGUUUUCCAUAUUUUU